Molecule: ribosomal RNA, 460 nt
Filed under: uncultured bacterium
Lineage: Bacteria
Description: partial 16S ribosomal RNA
Rfam family: Bacterial small subunit ribosomal RNA
Source: RNAcentral
CCUACGGGAGGCAGCAGUGAGGAAUAUUGGUCAAUGGACGAGAGUCUGAACCAGCCAAGUAGCGUGAAGGAUGACUGCCCUAUGGGUUGUAAACUUCUUUUAUAAAGGAAUAAAACGAGGCACGUGUGCCUUUUUGCAUGUACUUUAUGAAUAAGGAUCGGCUAACUCCGUGCCAGCAGCCGCGGUAAUACGGAGGAUCCGAGCGUUAUCCGGAUUUAUUGGGUUUAAAGGGUGCGUAGAUGGGUUGUUAAGUCAGUUGUGAAAGUUUGCGGCUCAACCGUAAAAUUGCAAUUGAUACUGGCAGUCUUGAGUACAGUUGGGGUAGGCGGAAUUCGUGGUGUAGCAGUGAAAUGCUUAGAUAUCACGAAGAACCCCGAUUGCGAAGGCAGCUUACUAAACUGUGACUGACAUUGAUGCUCGAAAGUGUGGGUAUCAAACAGGAUUAGAUACCCGAGUAGUC